This 1757-nucleotide long non-coding RNA is filed under the name Paramuricea clavata. The record is from RNAcentral. Lineage: Eukaryota; Metazoa; Cnidaria; Anthozoa; Malacalcyonacea; Plexauridae.
AAAUGUAGUAGUUUGCGAAAUUUUUUAUUUCCACAAUGUCUGACGACAGUGGCCUUUCUACGAGCUGUGUUGGAAGCGAAGCAGCGUUUUCUCCGCGUCAAAAUGUUGUCAAAAGUUACGGAAUUUCGAUUGACUCGAGUAAAAUUCACGAAGUCGCUUUCGAAGAGCAACCCGAGACCUUGCGAGCCUUAGGAGUGAAUGUUUUUGACCAAGAUGUGUUCGAGGAAGGGGUUUUACAGCAAGUUGAUCAAGCUAUUGCUGAACAGGAGGAAUUUCUGGAGAGAGAGAGUUUGAGUAAGGAAUUGAAGUCAAUUGAAGACGAAUUGAGGUUAGUAAGAGAUUCAAUGCAUUAAAAAUGUAAGCAGAACUUUAACUCGCUUUAAAUGGCAAAGUUAUGCAUAUAUUUGUCAAGUAGUUUAUCUCUCUCUCAUUGCUUGUUAUUAUCGUCGCUACCCACACUGGCACCAUGACCAUUCGAUAGUAUAUAUUUAUUGUGAUAUUAAUUGUGUUGGUCAUAGUGGUGGUGGUGGUAAUGGUUGUGAUGGUUGGUGGUAGCAACGGUGGUUAUGAUGGUGGUAUGAUUGAUGGUGGUGGUGGCGUUGAUGGUAUGAUUGGUGCUGGUGAUGAUGAUAUGAUUGGUGGUGAUGGACUGAUGGUGGUCAGGCCUUAAAAUAUCUUUUCCAGGCCGUCUGACAAAAUGUCCGGUGAUGUUGAGUUUGGGUCGGACAUAUGUCCGAUGACCUUCAGUUCAUUUUUGACUCGGAAAUAAGUCUGAAUGAUACAUGUACAAAUGAAUAAACGGUAAAUGUUGUAAAGAUAUUAAAUAAUUUGUUUCUUUCAUACAUACUUGCCAGAACAGCAGUAUCAAAAAGACUUCGACAACUUAAGCCCGUUUUCCACUUCACCAUUUCGCUCGCUGCUCCGCGCUUGACUACGUUAAAACAACAUUUCCAGUUCACCUUUUAUACAAUAAUACUCUGAUUUUCCAUUUAACAUACACGCCUGCCUCUAGUCCUGGCCUCCUGGGCUAGGGUACAUUUUGAUUUACGUCGGACAAAGCUACAGUUCGGUCGGACACCAAUACACUCGGGUCGGACAAACAAUAAACCUCAUUUUCACUUAGGUCGGACAGAAUGUCCGGUGGUUUCUUUUCUACGUCGGACAAUUUCACGAAUGGGUCGGACAAUGUCCGUGACCGACCGAUAUUUUAAGGCCUGAUGGUGGUACAGUUGAUGAUGGUGGUGGUGCCGAUGAUGGUAUGAUUGGUGCUGGUGAUGAUGGUAUGAUUGGUGGUGAUGGACUGAUGAUGGUACAGUUGAUGAUGGUGGUGGUGGCGAUGAUGGUAUGAUUGGUGCUGGCGAUGAUGGUUUGAUUGGUGGUGAUGGACUGAUGGUGGUACAGUUGUUGGUGGUGACAGUAAUGAUGAUUGGUGUGAUGAUGAUAAUUAUGGUGUUGCUGCUGAUGAUGAUAGUGGUGGUAUAUAUACAUAGUGGUGAUAGUGUGAUGGUGAUUCUAUAUUUUCUAACUGUAGAAAUGUCAAGCAAAAGCUCCAAAGACCUGGACUAAAACAACCUGCAAGAGAAUUAACUGUAAGUAGAAUACUUCAUUCCUUUAAAGUUUAAAAUGAUUUCAGUAUUUUAUUAAAAUCUUCAGUUCACUUUUUCUUUUCAUUUUGAAGCUGAAUGAUCUUGAGAGACUAAGAGAACAGAAGGAUCAUAUUCUGCAAAGAUUACAGGAGCUUGAUAAACAAAAAGGUU